This 142-nucleotide transfer RNA is filed under the name Daphnia magna. It matches the Rfam family "tRNA". Rfam says of the family: Transfer RNA (tRNA) molecules are approximately 80 nucleotides in length. The record is from Rfam by way of RNAcentral. Lineage: Eukaryota; Metazoa; Arthropoda; Branchiopoda; Diplostraca; Daphniidae.
GCUCCAGUGGCGCAGUUGGUUAGCGCAUGGUACUUAUAGGACAGUAUUCAUGUUAAUAGGAGAAAAAAGCUGCACAAAACAUCGCAGAAGUUGAAACGUAUAAGAAAUGCCGAGGUCGCGAGUUCGAGCCUCGCCUGGAGCA